GGGUUGUGAGGUUAAGCGACUAAGCGUACACGGUGGAUGCCCUGGCAGUCAGAGGCGAUGAAGGACGUGCUAAUCUGCGAUAAGCGUCGGUAAGGUGAUAUGAACCGUUAUAACCGGCGAUUUCCGAAUGGGGAAACCCAGUGUGAUUCGUCACACUAUCAUUAACUGAAUCCAUAGGUUAAUGAGGCGAACCGGGGGAACUGAAACAUCUAAGUACCCCGAGGAAAAGAAAUCAACCGAGAUUCCCCCAGUAGCGGCGAGCGAACGGGGAGCAGCCCAGAGCCUGAAUCAGUGUGUGUGUUAGUGGAAGCGUCUGGAAAGGCGCGCGAUACAGGGUGACAGCCCCGUACACAAAAAUGCACAUGCUGUGAGCUCGAUGAGUAGGGCGGGACACGUGGUAUCCUGUCUGAAUAUGGGGGGACCAUCCUCCAAGGCUAAAUACUCCUGACUGACCGAUAGUGAACCAGUACCGUGAGGGAAAGGCGAAAAGAACCCCGGCGAGGGGAGUGAAAAAGAACCUGAAACCGUGUACGUACAAGCAGUGGGAGCACGCUUAGGCGUGUGACUGCGUACCUUUUGUAUAAUGGGUCAGCGACUUAUAUUCUGUAGCAAGGUUAACCGAAUAGGGGAGCCGAAGGGAAACCGAGUCUUAACUGGGCGUUAAGUUGCAGGGUAUAGACCCGAAACCCGGUGAUCUAGCCAUGGGCAGGUUGAAGGUUGGGUAACACUAACUGGAGGACCGAACCGACUAAUGUUGAAAAAUUAGCGGAUGACUUGUGGCUGGGGGUGAAAGGCCAAUCAAACCGGGAGAUAGCUGGUUCUCCCCGAAAGCUAUUUAGGUAGCGCCUCGUGAAUUCAUCUCCGGGGGUAGAGCACUGUUUCGGCAAGGGGGUCAUCCCGACUUACCAACCCGAUGCAAACUGCGAAUACCGGAGAAUGUUAUCACGGGAGACACACGGCGGGUGCUAACGUCCGUCGUGAAGAGGGAAACAACCCAGACCGCCAGCUAAGGUCCCAAAGUCAUGGUUAAGUGGGAAACGAUGUGGGAAGGCCCAGACAGCCAGGAUGUUGGCUUAGAAGCAGCCAUCAUUUAAAGAAAGCGUAAUAGCUCACUGGUCGAGUCGGCCUGCGCGGAAGAUGUAACGGGGCUAAACCAUGCACCGAAGCUGCGGCAGCGACGCUGAUGCGUUGUUGGGUAGGGGAGCGUUCUGUAAGCCUGUGAAGGUGUGCUGUGAGGCAUGCUGGAGGUAUCAGAAGUGCGAAUGCUGACAUAAGUAACGAUAAAGCGGGUGAAAAGCCCGCUCGCCGGAAGACCAAGGGUUCCUGUCCAACGUUAAUCGGGGCAGGGUGAGUCGACCCCUAAGGCGAGGCCGAAAGGCGUAGUCGAUGGGAAACAGGUUAAUAUUCCUGUACUUGGUGUUACUGCGAAGGGGGGACGGAGAAGGCUAUGUUGGCCGGGCGACGGUUGUCCCGGUUUAAGCGUGUAGGCUGGUUUUCCAGGCAAAUCCGGAAAAUCAAGGCUGAGGCGUGAUGACGAGGCACUACGGUGCUGAAGCAACAAAUGCCCUGCUUCCAGGAAAAGCCUCUAAGCAUCAGGUAACAUCAAAUCGUACCCCAAACCGACACAGGUGGUCAGGUAGAGAAUACCAAGGCGCUUGAGAGAACUCGGGUGAAGGAACUAGGCAAAAUGGUGCCGUAACUUCGGGAGAAGGCACGCUGAUAUGUAGGUGAAGUCCCUCGCGGAUGGAGCUGAAAUCAGUCGAAGAUACCAGCUGGCUGCAACUGUUUAUUAAAAACACAGCACUGUGCAAACACGAAAGUGGACGUAUACGGUGUGACGCCUGCCCGGUGCCGGAAGGUUAAUUGAUGGGGUCAGCGCAAGCGAAGCUCUUGAUCGAAGCCCCGGUAAACGGCGGCCGUAACUAUAACGGUCCUAAGGUAGCGAAAUUCCUUGUCGGGUAAGUUCCGACCUGCACGAAUGGCGUAAUGAUGGCCAGGCUGUCUCCACCCGAGACUCAGUGAAAUUGAACUCGCUGUGAAGAUGCAGUGUACCCGCGGCAAGACGGAAAGACCCCGUGAACCUUUACUAUAGCUUGACACUGAACAUUGAGCCUUGAUGUGUAGGAUAGGUGGGAGGCUUUGAAGUGUGGACGCCAGUCUGCAUGGAGCCGGCCUUGAAAUACCACCCUUUAAUGUUUGAUGUUCUAACGUUGACCCGUGAUCCGGGUUGCGGACAGUGUCUGGUGGGUAGUUUGACUGGGGCGGUCUCCUCCUAAAGAGUAACGGAGGAGCACGAAGGUUGGCUAAUCCUGGUCGGACAUCAGGAGGUUAGUGCAAUGGCAUAAGCCAGCUUGACUGCGAGCGUGACGGCGCGAGCAGGUGCGAAAGCAGGUCAUAGUGAUCCGGUGGUUCUGAAUGGAAGGGCCAUCGCUCAACGGAUAAAAGGUACUCCGGGGAUAACAGGCUGAUACCGCCCAAGAGUUCAUAUCGACGGCGGUGUUUGGCACCUCGAUGUCGGCUCAUCACAUCCUGGGGCUGAAGUAGGUCCCAAGGGUAUGGCUGUUCGCCAUUUAAAGUGGUACGCGAGCUGGGUUUAGAACGUCGUGAGACAGUUCGGUCCCUAUCUGCCGUGGGCGCUGGAGAACUGAGGGGGGCUGCUCCUAGUACGAGAGGACCGGAGUGGACGCAUCACUGGUGUUCGGGUUGUCAUGCCAAUGGCACUGCCCGGUAGCUAAAUGCGGAAGAGAUAAGUGCUGAAAGCAUCUAAGCACGAAACUUGCCCCGAGAUGAGUUCUCCCUGACUCCUUGAGAGUCCUGAAGGAACGUUGAAGACGACGACGUUGAUAGGCCGGGUGUGUAAGCGCAGCGAUGCGUUGAGCUAACCGGUACUAAUGAACCGUGAGGCUUAACCUUACAACGCCGAAG
This 2925-nucleotide ribosomal RNA is filed under the name Escherichia coli. RNAcentral describes it as "bacterial LSU rRNA". It matches the Rfam family "Bacterial large subunit ribosomal RNA". Lineage: Bacteria; Pseudomonadati; Pseudomonadota; Gammaproteobacteria; Enterobacterales; Enterobacteriaceae. The record is from RNAcentral.